Molecule: RNA transcript, 666 nt
Organism: Tupaia belangeri chinensis (Chinese tree shrew)
Lineage: Eukaryota; Metazoa; Chordata; Mammalia; Scandentia; Tupaiidae
Gene: TOMM6
Gene name: translocase of outer mitochondrial membrane 6
Exons: 4
Source: RefSeq, a predicted model, not a curated record
UGCGGGAAGCCGACUAAGUGUCGAACCGGAAGUGCGUCAUCCGCCAGCGCCGACCCCGUGCGCCGCGAGGCCUGUGCGGAGUCCGAGUGCUGCCAUGGCUUCCAGCGGGGUGGCGGUGAGCGCUGCCGGCUCGGCAAAUGAAGCCCCCGAAAUGCCGGACAGUGUGGGAGAUUGGCUGCGGGGUGUCUACCGCUUCGCCACGGAUAGGAAUGACUUUCGGAGGAACUUGAUCCUUAAUCUGGGACUCUUUGCAGCAGGAGUUUGGCUGGCCAGGAACUUGAGUGACAUCGAUCUAAUGGCACCUCAGCCAGGGGCAUAGCCAAGGAGGUCUCAGAUCUAUGGAACUGGUAUGGAUUAAAGGACAUGACUUGGAAAGAAGGAUCAGUGUGCAAGAAAGAAGCUGCUGGCUCCGAAGCUGCCUGCUGCACCAAGAUGAGAACAGGCAUUCAGAGAAGCCCUGGACCACCAGCUGUCCCUGUCCACCUUCCAGAGUUCUGAGAAAGCCUCAGACACCUGACUAAGGACCAAUUUGCACUAGACCUGAACCAGGGAGCUGCUACAGAACUGGGAUGGCCAGGGGUGCCCUUUGGCUCAGCACGUAACCAAGAACAUCGCUUCCUUAUAUGAGCUGCCCCUUGUUUAGAAUAAAGGGAUGGUCAUACGGUC